Molecule: ribosomal RNA, 253 nt
Filed under: uncultured bacterium
Lineage: Bacteria
Description: partial 16S ribosomal RNA
Rfam family: Bacterial small subunit ribosomal RNA
Source: RNAcentral
UACGAGGGGGGCAAGCGUUGUUCGGAAUUAUUGGGCGUAAAGGGUGCGUAGGCGGUCUGACAAGUCUGAUGUGAAAUCUAUGGGCUCAACCCAUAGUCUGCAUCGGAAACUGUCGGGCUGGAGUAUGGGAGAGGUGAGUGGAAUUUCCGGUGUAGCGGUGAAAUGCGCAGAUAUCAGGAAGAACACCAAUGGCGAAGGCAGCUCUCUGGGACGGUACUGACACUGAGACGCGAAAGCGUGGGGAGCGAACAGG